Myodes glareolus (Bank vole) is the source of this 408-nucleotide non-coding RNA. The record is from RefSeq and is a predicted model, not a curated record. NCBI's taxonomy places the organism in Eukaryota, Metazoa, Chordata, Mammalia, Rodentia, Cricetidae.
ACCUGGGAGGACAGAUACACAUAAGGAGCAUGUUACCAACACCAAGAACAUGGAUGGGCUCAUACCCCCGUGCUGGAGCCUCCUGAAGGGUCUGUGGUGGGCUGGUAUGGAGCUGAAGACCUGAGCUGGUAGAAUCUGUCCCUGGAGGCACAAAGCCCAGCGUCUAAUCCCCAAUAUCAGGUGUGCAAGCCUAUAACCCCAACACUCAGGAGAUGGAGGCAGGACAAGCAGAAGUUCAAGGUCAUUGUUGACUACCUGGACAGCCCAGUCUGAAUACAAUCUCCGCAGAGUGGGUACACUCACCCCAGUAGACACAGACUGCCACAGGACAGCCAGGUGAGGGCGCCGGCAUUGUAGGACAGCUGGGUCACGAUCAUCUUGCUGCAGGACGGACAGCACAUCUGGACA